RNAcentral lists this ribosomal RNA (492 nucleotides) under uncultured bacterium. RNAcentral describes it as "partial 16S ribosomal RNA". It matches the Rfam family "Bacterial small subunit ribosomal RNA", at positions 29 to 507 of the family's 1533-position model. The record is from RNAcentral.
AGUGAACGCUGGCGGUAGGCCUAACACAUGCAAGUCGAACGGCAGCACAGUAAGAGCUUGCUCUUACGGGUGGCGAGUGGCGGACGGGUGAGGAAUACAUCGGAAUCUACUUUUUCGUGGGGGAUAACGUAGGGAAACUUACGCUAAUACCGCAUACGACCUACGGGUGAAAGCAGGGGAUCUUCGGACCUUGCGCGAUUGAAUGCGCCGAUGUCGGAUUAGCUAGUUGGCGGGGUAAAGGCCCACCAAGGCGACGAUCCGUAGCUGGUCUGAGAGGAUGAUCGGCCACACUGGAACGGGGACACGGUCCAGACUCCUACGGGAGGCAGCAGUGGGGAAUAUUGGACAAUGGGCGCAAGCCUGAUCCAGCCAUACCGCGUGGGUGAAGAAGGCCUUCGGGUUGUAAAGCCCUUUUGUUGGGAAAGAAAAGCAGCAGGUUAAUACCCCGCUGUUCUGACGGUACCCAAAGAAUAAGCACCGGCUAACUUCGUG